Molecule: ribosomal RNA, 690 nt
Filed under: uncultured Alphaproteobacteria bacterium
Lineage: Bacteria; Pseudomonadati; Pseudomonadota; Alphaproteobacteria
Description: bacterial SSU rRNA
Rfam family: Bacterial small subunit ribosomal RNA
Source: RNAcentral
AACGAACGCUGGCGGCAUGCCUAACACAUGCAAGUCGAACGAGACCUUCGGGUCUAGUGGCGCACGGGUGCGUAACGCGUGGGAAUCUGCCCUUGGGUUCGGAAUAACAGUGAGAAAUUACUGCUAAUACCGGAUGAUGUCUUCGGACCAAAGAUUUAUCGCCCAGGGAUGAGCCCGCGUAGGAUUAGCUAGUUGGUGGGGUAAUGGCCUACCAAGGCGACGAUCCUUAGCUGGUCUGAGAGGAUGAUCAGCCACACUGGGACUGAGACACGGCCCAGACUCCUACGGGAGGCAGCAGUGGGGAAUAUUGGACAAUGGGCGAAAGCCUGAUCCAGCAAUGCCGCGUGAGUGAUGAAGGCCUUAGGGUUGUAAAGCUCUUUUACCCGGGAUGAUAAUGACAGUACCGGGAGAAUAAGCUCCGGCUAACUCCGUGCCAGCAGCCGCGGUAAUACGGAGGGAGCUAGCGUUGUUCGGAAUUACUGGGCGUAAAGCGCGCGUAGGCGGCUGCUCAAGUCAGAGGUGAAAGCCCGGGGCUCAACCCCGGAACUGCCUUUGAAACUAGGUAGCUAGAAUCUUGGAGAGGUCAGUGGAAUUCCGAGUGUAGAGGUGAAAUUCGUAGAUAUUCGGAAGAACACCAGUGGCGAAGGCGACUGACUGGACAAGUAUUGACGCUGAGGUGCGAAAGCGUGG